Molecule: long non-coding RNA, 1065 nt
Filed under: Cricetulus griseus (Chinese hamster)
Lineage: Eukaryota; Metazoa; Chordata; Mammalia; Rodentia; Cricetidae
Description: lncRNA (ENSCGRG00015030004.1)
Source: RNAcentral
CACAAAACGCACACCCAGAACUUUAGUUGCCACACAUUGACUGACUGAACCAGGAAUUACCAAAAUGUGAUACAGGCAUUAAUCCUAGGAUUCCCAUAAUCCUCUGGAAGAGGUACAUCAUAUGUGGUGACAGACACCCAUGCAGGCGAAAGACGCACACACGUAAAAAUUCAUCUUUAAAAAAGAAGUAACAGGAAAUAGUUGCAGAUAUGAGUUGUAUUUACAGAGGAGGAAAACUAGGAGCUGAACAGCUUUGCCGAAGCCACACAAAAGUCAGUGGCUGUGACAGGAUUAAUUCAGAAAAAGAUACAGAACUGAUUUUAAAAGGAAAGGCCUGGAAACAAUCAGGGAUCAGCUACGUCUCUGGGGGCAACAGAUGGAGACAUAUGUCAAAGUCAUUUUGUGAAACGCCUCCCGGGAGUUAGAAAGAAACGAGCCAGAGCCACACUGCCCGCAGCAUGGAUAAAGACAACUGUGAAAACCAAAAUGUGGUCUCUCAGCUGCUGCUCCAGCCUCCACGUCUGCCUGUUGCCCUUCUGCCGCACCACGAUGGAACAUAAGCCCAAAAUAGACCCUCCCUUCUAUAAGUUACCUUGGUCUUGGUGUUUGAUCAUAGCAAUAGAAAAGUAACUACUACACCCACUGAGCCAUCUCACUGGCCCCUCUUUGGUUCUUUGAGACAAGGUCUCACUAGGUUGGCCUGGAACUCAUCAUGUAGCUGACUGGGACUCUCAGCUCCUCAUGCUCCUGCCUCCAACUUGCCAAACACUGGGAUUACAGGUGUGUACUAUCAAAUUCAGCCCAUCUAUGAAGACCUCAGGGUGCUCUUUCUAUCUAGCAAACAAAACCAUUCCCCUGCCUCACUUCCUGAAGCUAAUAAUUAAAUUUAUUGGAGAUGUCAUCAAGCCCUGUUUCAUAGGUCAAGGACAUGACCUGAAAUUCUUUAGCAAAUCACAAAGAAUCCUUGAAUGGAUCAGGAAAUCCCACAACUACAAGCUUCCAGCUCAGUUUUUAAAAUUGUGUGUGUGUGUGUGUGUGUGUGUGUGUGUGUAGUGUGAGCUUGUG